Sander lucioperca (pikeperch) is the source of this 284-nucleotide long non-coding RNA. RefSeq lists it as uncharacterized. The record is from RefSeq and is a predicted model, not a curated record. NCBI's taxonomy places the organism in Eukaryota, Metazoa, Chordata, Actinopteri, Perciformes, Percidae. The transcript is spliced from 5 exons.
AAUGUUUCAAAACAACAAUGUUUAAUAUUUAAGUCUCAGCCUCAGAGCCUCAGCUGUUCUGACUUGAGUAUACAAGUUUAUUACAACACAAAUCUGAUAUCAGAGAAGGUCUUGGUACAGCUAGUAACCAUGGACACAGAUUUACCAAAAACUUAAAGUAACAUCACAUUCACUCAGCUUUAUACAGUGUAUCCUCAGGUAAAGAGAGUCAGCUGAUGACAGGAAUCAUAAAGUGUUUCUAAUUAAACAUUUUAAAUGUUGAUAAUCAAAUAGAUGAAAUCAGA